AUAUUUAGAGAAGAGAAAAGACUGACUAGCUAAUCAAAAUCCUUCCACUAACUUCAUCAAGUCAGAUAAAAAAAGACUAGAUAUAAGUUGGUCCAACCGACUAGUCACAAAUCCUCCCACUGACUUCAUCAAGUCAUGAAGAGAACUACUGACAAGUCAAACUAGAGGCACCUAAAUCAGUCAUACUGAUUUUUUAGCUAGUAUGGGUGAAUCCUAAUCAUUAAGUGAUCUGAUCACAAUAUGAUUCACCAUAUUGGUCAGGUA
This 264-nucleotide long non-coding RNA is filed under the name Elaeis guineensis (African oil palm). RNAcentral describes it as "long non-coding RNA (EGUI_LNC017689)". Lineage: Eukaryota; Viridiplantae; Streptophyta; Magnoliopsida; Arecales; Arecaceae. The record is from RNAcentral.